AUGGGAAAGAAACCUGGAAAGGUAGGGAGGUAUGGAUAUGGACAAGCUAUGCCAAGGAGCAGGGCUUUGUCAUGGAGAGUGACUAGGUGCUUUUACAUAGGAAAGUCACCUGAUAAUAUUAAAACCUGUGAAAUAUCACUCUGGUGGAAGUGUGAAUGAAUUUGAAAGGGGUGUAACACUGUUCUACUUUGUUUACUCCUCAGUACCCUUGGCUGUGUACAUUUGAGUAAAGAGAGCACUAUAAAAUCAAAAACCAAUGAAAUGGUUUCCAGAACACAGAACUAUUAAGCUUAAGAAAAGGACAGAAGGAACUGAAGAGAGAGGAACUGUUUUGGAGCAUCACACUUCCACCUCAGAAGAAAUAAGGAAGGAAGGAGGAGGGUGUUCCCACGGCUCUUCAACCAGGCCGGCUCUUCAGCCUACAUCCCCAUCUCAUCAAGUAAAAGGGAUUUUUCAACUGGACCAACCAGAUGGUUUAACAGUGCACUCCCACACCAUUCAACUACGCAAGGGAGAUACACUUAACAUAUGCAGUCGUAUAACACCUACUAACAUUUUCAAACAUUAAACCUUUAAAAAAGAGUUCUAAAGAAAUAGAAGCUUGAAGUAUCAUCUCUCAAGUAUAUAGACACUACUUCAUGGUGUGGUAAUAUAUGCAUAUAGAAGCUAGUAAACACCUCCAGGAGAUGCAAAAGGAAUUAGAACUGCCACAAGGUGCAAGCAAAACCUUGAGAUAUUCUGCCCAAUCAGAGGCUAACAUCUGCCACAAGACAAAUAUGGUGCCUGCCCCCAUGGAGCUCAUAUUCGAAUGGAGAAAAUGUCAACAAGUAUCCCACGGAGUGAACACUUCAAAAGGAGAAGCACAGGUGAGAAAAUCGAAUUUGGACACCGUUGAGGAGACUAUUGCAGUCAUCCAAGCUCAAGAUGGUGGAGCUUCAUCCUUGAGAAUAACCAAUGGGGAUAGAUUUAAGAGACACUUAGAGUCUGCAGCCAACAGGGCUGAAUGAGCAGAGAGUUAUGAUUCAGAAGAUCAUCUAAAAUUGAACAGCUGCCACUACUGGCAAUAAGUCUACUGCCAUUUGGUAGAUAACCUUCUUAUCACACAGAAAAAUAUCAGUACAGACAAAUAGACCGCAAAGAAAAUGAGACCAUCAGCAAAGAAGAUAAAGAAGUUUGUACAAAGCAACUUUUUAUAAAUGGAUGGCUGUCAGGCAAAAAUAAAUUUCCUGUGGACAAGACCAAGAGCAAGGCAAGAGGAAAAUAAACAUGUUUAAACUA
Molecule: long non-coding RNA, 1278 nt
Organism: Homo sapiens (human)
Lineage: Eukaryota; Metazoa; Chordata; Mammalia; Primates; Hominidae
Product: long intergenic non-protein coding RNA 343
Source: Ensembl